RNAcentral lists this ribosomal RNA (2906 nucleotides) under Escherichia coli. RNAcentral describes it as "23S ribosomal RNA". It matches the Rfam family "Bacterial large subunit ribosomal RNA". Lineage: Bacteria; Pseudomonadati; Pseudomonadota; Gammaproteobacteria; Enterobacterales; Enterobacteriaceae. The record is from RNAcentral.
GGUUAAGCGACUAAGCGUACACGGUGGAUGCCCUGGCAGUCAGAGGCGAUGAAGGACGUGCUAAUCUGCGAUAAGCGUCGGUAAGGUGAUAUGAACCGUUAUAACCGGCGAUUUCCGAAUGGGGAAACCCAGUGUGAUUCGUCACACUAUCAUUAACUGAAUCCAUAGGUUAAUGAGGCGAACCGGGGGAACUGAAACAUCUAAGUACCCCGAGGAAAAGAAAUCAACCGAGAUUCCCCCAGUAGCGGCGAGCGAACGGGGAGCAGCCCAGAGCCUGAAUCAGUGUGUGUGUUAGUGGAAGCGUCUGGAAAGGCGCGCGAUACAGGGUGACAGCCCCGUACACAAAAAUGCACAUACUGUGAGCUCGAUGAGUAGGGCGGGACACGUGGUAUCCUGUCUGAAUAUGGGGGGACCAUCCUCCAAGGCUAAAUACUCCUGACUGACCGAUAGUGAACCAGUACCGUGAGGGAAAGGCGAAAAGAACCCCGGCGAGGGGAGUGAAAAAGAACCUGAAACCGUGUACGUACAAGCAGUGGGAGCACAGAGCAAUCUGUGUGACUGCGUACCUUUUGUAUAAUGGGUCAGCGACUUAUAUUCUGUAGCAAGGUUAACCGAAUAGGGGAGCCGAAGGGAAACCGAGUCUUAACUGGGCGUUAAGUUGCAGGGUAUAGACCCGAAACCCGGUGAUCUAGCCAUGGGCAGGUUGAAGGUUGGGUAACACUAACUGGAGGACCGAACCGACUAAUGUUGAAAAAUUAGCGGAUGACUUGUGGCUGGGGGUGAAAGGCCAAUCAAACCGGGAGAUAGCUGGUUCUCCCCGAAAGCUAUUUAGGUAGCGCCUCGUGAAUUCAUCUCCGGGGGUAGAGCACUGUUUCGGCAAGGGGGUCAUCCCGACUUACCAACCCGAUGCAAACUGCGAAUACCGGAGAAUGUUAUCACGGGAGACACACGGCGGGUGCUAACGUCCGUCGUGAAGAGGGAAACAACCCAGACCGCCAGCUAAGGUCCCAAAGUCAUGGUUAAGUGGGAAACGAUGUGGGAAGGCCCAGACAGCCAGGAUGUUGGCUUAGAAGCAGCCAUCAUUUAAAGAAAGCGUAAUAGCUCACUGGUCGAGUCGGCCUGCGCGGAAGAUGUAACGGGGCUAAACCAUGCACCGAAGCUGCGGCAGCGACGCUUAUGCGUUGUUGGGUAGGGGAGCGUUCUGUAAGCCUGCGAAGGUGUGCUGUGAGGCAUGCUGGAGGUAUCAGAAGUGCGAAUGCUGACAUAAGUAACGAUAAAGCGGGUGAAAAGCCCGCUCGCCGGAAGACCAAGGGUUCCUGUCCAACGUUAAUCGGGGCAGGGUGAGUCGACCCCUAAGGCGAGGCCGAAAGGCGUAGUCGAUGGGAAACAGGUUAAUAUUCCUGUACUUGGUGUUACUGCGAAGGGGGGACGGAGAAGGCUAUGUUGGCCGGGCGACGGUUGUCCCGGUUUAAGCGUGUAGGCUGGUUUUCCAGGCAAAUCCGGAAAAUCAAGGCUGAGGCGUGAUGACGAGGCACUACGGUGCUGAAGCAACAAAUGCCCUGCUUCCAGGAAAAGCCUCUAAGCAUCAGGUAACAUCAAAUCGUACCCCAAACCGACACAGGUGGUCAGGUAGAGAAUACCAAGGCGCUUGAGAGAACUCGGGUGAAGGAACUAGGCAAAAUGGUGCCGUAACUUCGGGAGAAGGCACGCUGAUAUGUAGGUGAAGUCCCUCGCGGAUGGAGCUGAAAUCAGUCGAAGAUACCAGCUGGCUGCAACUGUUUAUUAAAAACACAGCACUGUGCAAACACGAAAGUGGACGUAUACGGUGUGACGCCUGCCCGGUGCCGGAAGGUUAAUUGAUGGGGUUAGCGCAAGCGAAGCUCUUGAUCGAAGCCCCGGUAAACGGCGGCCGUAACUAUAACGGUCCUAAGGUAGCGAAAUUCCUUGUCGGGUAAGUUCCGACCUGCACGAAUGGCGUAAUGAUGGCCAGGCUGUCUCCACCCGAGACUCAGUGAAAUUGAACUCGCUGUGAAGAUGCAGUGUACCCGCGGCAAGACGGAAAGACCCCGUGAACCUUUACUAUAGCUUGACACUGAACAUUGAGCCUUGAUGUGUAGGAUAGGUGGGAGGCUUUGAAGUGUGGACGCCAGUCUGCAUGGAGCCGACCUUGAAAUACCACCCUUUAAUGUUUGAUGUUCUAACGUGGACCCGUAAUCCGGGUUGCGGACAGUGUCUGGUGGGUAGUUUGACUGGGGCGGUCUCCUCCUAAAGAGUAACGGAGGAGCACGAAGGUUGGCUAAUCCUGGUCGGACAUCAGGAGGUUAGUGCAAUGGCAUAAGCCAGCUUGACUGCGAGCGUGACGGCGCGAGCAGGUGCGAAAGCAGGUCAUAGUGAUCCGGUGGUUCUGAAUGGAAGGGCCAUCGCUCAACGGAUAAAAGGUACUCCGGGGAUAACAGGCUGAUACCGCCCAAGAGUUCAUAUCGACGGCGGUGUUUGGCACCUCGAUGUCGGCUCAUCACAUCCUGGGGCUGAAGUAGGUCCCAAGGGUAUGGCUGUUCGCCAUUUAAAGUGGUACGCGAGCUGGGUUUAGAACGUCGUGAGACAGUUCGGUCCCUAUCUGCCGUGGGCGCUGGAGAAUUGAGGGGGGCUGCUCCUAGUACGAGAGGACCGGAGUGGACGCAUCACUGGUGUUCGGGUUGUCAUGCCAAUGGCACUGCCCGGUAGCUAAAUGCGGAAGAGAUAAGUGCUGAAAGCAUCUAAGCACGAAACUUGCCCCGAGAUGAGUUCUCCCUGACUCCUUGAGAGUCCUGAAGGAACGUUGAAGACGACGACGUUGAUAGGCCGGGUGUGUAAGCGCAGCGAUGCGUUGAGCUAACCGGUACUAAUGAACCGUGAGGCUUAACCUU